CCUACGAGUGUCAGCAGUGGGGAAUAUUGCACAAUGGGGGAAACCCUGAUGCAGCGACGCCGCGUGAGUGAAGACGUAUUUCGGUAUGUAAAGCUCUAUCAGCAGGGAAGAAAAUGACGGUACCUGAUUAAGAAGCCCCGGCUAACUACGUGCCAGCAGCCGCGGUACUACGUAGGGGGCAAGCGUUAUCCGGAUUUACUGGGUGUAAAGGGAGCGUAGACGGCAGCACAAGCCUGGAGUGAAAUGCCGGGGCUUAACCCCGGAACUGCUUUGGAAACUGUGCAGCUAGAGUGCAGGAGAGGUAAGUGGAAUUCCUAGUGUAGCGGUGAAAUGCGUAGAUAUUAGGAGGAACACCAGUGGCGAAGGCGGCUUACUGGACUGUAACUGACGUUGAGGCUCGAAAGCGUGGGGAGCAAACAGGAUUAGAUACCCUGGUAGUC
Molecule: ribosomal RNA, 440 nt
Filed under: uncultured bacterium
Lineage: Bacteria
Description: partial 16S ribosomal RNA
Rfam family: Bacterial small subunit ribosomal RNA
Source: RNAcentral